Molecule: ribosomal RNA, 1393 nt
Filed under: uncultured bacterium
Lineage: Bacteria
Description: 16S ribosomal RNA
Rfam family: Bacterial small subunit ribosomal RNA
Source: RNAcentral
AGAGUUUGAUCCUGGCUCAGGAUGAACGCUAGCGGCAGGCCUAACACAUGCAAGUCGAGGGGCAGCGAGGGGUAGCAAUACUCUGUCGGCGACCGGCAGAAGGGUGCGUAACGCGUGAGCAACUUGCCCGUCACAGGGGGAUAACCGGUGGAAACGCCGCCUAACACCCCGUAACACUUGGUGAGACAUCUUACUAAGUUGAAAAUCUUAGGAUGGUGACGGAUGGGCUCGCGUGACAUUAGAUAGAUGGUGGGGCAACGGCUCACCAUGUCGACGAUGUCUAGGGGUUCUGAGAGGAAGAUCCCCCACACUGGGACUGAGACACGGCCCAGACUCCUACGGGAGGCAGCAGUGAGGAAUAUUGGACAAUGGAGGGAACUCUGAUCCAGCCAUGCCGCGUGAAGGACUAAGGCCCUAUGGGUCGUAAACUUCUUUUUAUUGGGAGCAAUAAGGACUACGCGUAGUUCGAUGAGAGUACCAGUAGAAUAAGCAUCGGCUAACUCCGUGCCAGCAGCCGCGGUAAUACGGAGGAUGCGAGCGUUAUCCGGAUUUAUUGGGUUUAAAGGGUGCGUAGGCGGUUAUGUAAGCCAGCGGUGAAAUACCCACGCUCAACGUGGGGGCUGCCGUUGGAACUGUGUAACUAGAAUGCGGAUGACGUGGGAGGAAUGAGUGGUGUAGCGGUGAAAUGCAUAGAUAUCACUCAGAACAUCGAUUGCGAAGGCAUCUCACGAAUCCGUUAUUGACGCUGAGGCACGAAAGCGCGGGUAGCGAACAGGAUUAGAUACCCUGGUAGUCCGCGCAGUAAACGAUGAUGGCUAACCGCCGGCGAUACACAGUCGGUGGCCAAGCGAAAGCGAUAAGCCAUCCACCUGGGGAGUACGACCGCAAGGUUGAAACUCAAAGGAAUUGACGGGGGCCCGCACAAGCGGAGGAACAUGUGGUUUAAUUCGAUGAUACGCGAGGAACCUUACCCGGGCUCGAACGGCAGAUGAAUACUUAAGAGAUUGAGUAGUCUUCGGACAUCUGUCGAGGUGCUGCAUGGUUGUCGUCAGCUCGUGCCGUGAGGUGUCGGCUUAAGUGCCAUAACGAGCGCAACCCUUGCCGCCAGUUGCCAGCAUGUAAUGAUGGGGACUCUGGGGGGACUGCCACCGCAAGGUGAGAGGAAGGGGGGGAUGACGUCAAAUCAGCACGGCCCCUACGUCCGGGGCGACACACGUGUUACAAUGGCAGGUACAGAGGGAAGCGACCUCGCGAGGGGGAGCAAAGCUCGAAAGCCUGUCUCAGUUCGGACUGGAGUCUGCAACCCGACUCCACGAAGCUGGAUUCGCUAGUAAUCGCGCAUCAGCCAUGGCGCGGUGAAUACGUUCCCGGGCCUUGCACACACCGCCCGUCA